This 97-nucleotide small nucleolar RNA is filed under the name Marmota monax (woodchuck). Its description in RNAcentral is "Small nucleolar RNA SNORA70". It matches the Rfam family "Small nucleolar RNA SNORA70". Rfam says of the family: snoRNA U70 seems to be exclusive to mammals and is a member of the H/ACA class of snoRNA which contain H (ANANNA) and ACA box motifs. H/ACA box snoRNAs are involved in the conversion of uridines to pseudouridines (5-ribosyluracil) a constituent of structural RNAs (transfer, ribosomal, small nuclear, and small nucleolar). Lineage: Eukaryota; Metazoa; Chordata; Mammalia; Rodentia; Sciuridae. The record is from Rfam by way of RNAcentral.
CUGUGCACAGUGACCACAAACAGUAGCCUCCCUGGUGGUGCACGCAGCCAGUUGUUUUUUUUUUUUUUUGGUUGCCGCAGGGACCUUGGAGACAGCU